ACGUAGGGGGCGAGCGUUGUCCGGAAUGACUGGGCGUAAAGGGCGCGUAGACGGUUUUUUAAGUCUGGAGUGAAAGUCCUGCUUUCAAUGUGGGAAUUGCUUUGGAGACUGGAAGACUUGAGUGCGGAAGAGGUAAGUGGAAUUCCCAGUGUAGCGGUGAAAUGCGUAGAGAUUGGGAAGAACACCAGUGGCGAAGGCGACUUACUGGGCCGUAACUGACGUUGAGGCGCGAAAGCGUGGGGAGCGAACAG
This 251-nucleotide ribosomal RNA is filed under the name uncultured prokaryote. RNAcentral's name for it is "partial 16S rRNA". It matches the Rfam family "Bacterial small subunit ribosomal RNA", at positions 525 to 775 of the family's 1533-position model. The record is from RNAcentral.